GACGAACGCUGGCGGCGUGCUUAACACAUGCAAGUCGAACGGAAAGGCCCUGCUUUUGUGGGGUGCUCGAGUGGCGAACGGGUGAGUAACACGUGAGUAACCUGCCCUUGACUUUGGGAUAACUUUAGGAAACUGGGGCUAAUACCGGAUAGGAGCUCCUGCUGCAUGGUGGGGGUUGGAAAGUUUCGGCGGUUGGGGAUGGACUCGCGGCUUAUCAGCUUGUUGGUGGGGUAGUGGCUUACCAAGGCUUUGACGGGUAGCCGGCCUGAGAGGGUGACCGGCCACAUUGGGACUGAGAUACGGCCCAGACUCCUACGGGAGGCAGCAGUGGGGAAUAUUGCACAAUGGGCGGAAGCUUGAUGCAGCAACGCCGCGUGCGGGAUGACGGCCUUCGGGUUGUAAACCGCUUUCGCCUGUGACGAAGCGUGAGUGACGGUAAUGGGUAAAGAAGCACCGACUAACUACGUG
This 468-nucleotide ribosomal RNA is filed under the name uncultured bacterium. Its description in RNAcentral is "partial 16S ribosomal RNA". It matches the Rfam family "Bacterial small subunit ribosomal RNA", at positions 28 to 507 of the family's 1533-position model. The record is from RNAcentral.